This is a non-coding RNA of Collybia nuda, 114 nucleotides long. The record is from the annotation of a GenBank genome assembly. Lineage: Eukaryota; Fungi; Basidiomycota; Agaricomycetes; Agaricales; Clitocybaceae.
GCCCGCCUAGCUCAAUUGGUCAGAGCGUCAGACUUUUACGGAGUCUGCGCCCUUCUGGGUAUACAGGCAUAAGGCUAAAUCUGAAGGCUGCGAGUUCGACCCUCGCGGUGGGCU